AAAUGUGUCAUACAAAUGAAAAAUAUCAAUGAAUGGGCAUCGUUUCGUGUACUAAGUAUGUACAUAUGUACAUAUGUGAAUACGCGUCGGUUUCGGUUCGUUUUGACUUAUGCGUAUAUCGGUAUAACCUAUGGUAGUGCGCGGAAGAUGUAGAAGCGUAUAAGUAACUAAAAAAAGAAAAAUCAAAUAAAAAUGAAUGAGUGGUAAAAGUGUGAAGUGCGGUUAUCGUUGUAUGCGUUCGUCCAUCGUUGUAAACUUUAAGCUCCAUGAACACUCUGCAAUGAAUUGAUCACAAUAUCAUCCCCAAAGGCGGAUAAUCUUUAUUUCCACAAGCGAAAAAUGCGUGCAGUAAUGGAAAAAUUCUUUGGCACAACAAAUUAUCUUCUAACCAUGUAAUCACUCAAGGCGAGAUACAUCAAUACCUCUGUGUAGCUUUGCUUGGAGAUCAGUAGUAAUGUUCUAAUGUAAUAAAAGUUUAAUGCAUCGAUAAAGUGGAAAUUCGCAAUUUUUCCUUGCCACCGUCAGCCCGCCUCGGCGCCGCUCGUCAAGUUUUCGCCUGGAAACAAAAGAAUCUGCAAUACUUACGCUUAAUGUUCGGGGAUAACGAGUAGCAUAAAAAAUGUCGGAUUUCAAGUUGGAGCAGCAAAGAUUUAUUCAUGGACGAGUGAUGAAGUACAACGGUUGCGGCUGACUGCGAAAUUAUCUACGUGCGCGGAGUGGAUGGGGCAGACCUCAGUGGUAGCGGUAAAUAGUGUAACAGACGAGGCUGGAUAAUUUCUGAAAGUAACAAAAAGAAAUCAAACUGGCAUGAAGCACUUUGGAAGCAAAAGUUAUUUCAACAAAUCUGGAAGGAAAAAUUAUUUACGACGAACUGAAGUUGGGAUGAGGAGUGGAAUGGACAAUAGGUAACAGACGACGCUGGAUAAUUUCUGAAAGUAACAGAAAGAAAUCAAACUGGCAUGAAGCACUUUGGAAGCAAAAGUUAUUUUAACAAAACUGGAAGGAAAAAUUAUUUAUGACGAGCUGAAGUUGGGAUGAGGAGUGGAAUGGACAAUAGGUAACAGACGAGGCUGGAUAAUUUCUGAAAGUAACAAAAAGAAAUCAAACUGACAUGAAGCACAUUGGGAGGAAAAGUUAAAUUAACAAAACUGGAAGGAAAAAUUAUUUACAACGAGCUGAAGUUGGGAAGAAAAGUGGAAUGGACAAUAGGUAACAGACGAGGCUGGAUAAUUUCUGAAAGUAACAAAAAGAAAUCAAACUGGCAUGAAGCACUUUGGAAGCAAAAGUUAUUUUAACAAAACUGGAAGGAAAAAUUAUUUACAACGAGCUGAAGUUGGGAAGAGGAGUGGAAUGGACAAUAGUAACAGACUCGAGUAGAUAAUUUCUGAAACCCAAAAAGAAAUCAUGUUGAAAUGAAACUCAUUGGAAGCAAAGAUAUAAUAACAAAACUGAAAGGAAAAAUUGUGUAUGUGCUAUCUGAAGUCAGGAUGAGAGGCGUUGUUGAAUUUUUAAAAGUUGCGGGCUUUAGCUCGAUUUCCAGCAAAACUACAUGUCCUAUAUGAAAAAGUUAUAUGUCAAAAUUGUAGUUAAUGAGAAGAUCUACAACUUUGGUAUGAACAUCUUUUAAGGAUAACAUCACAAUUUAUGUGAAAAUGCAAAUACUCCAGUUUUUGGGUGUUUUAUUUUUUUCUGGCGCAAAUUUCAUUCUUUCAGAUAGUUGAAAGUGAAGGCAAGGAUGCUGCAGUAGUUCUCCCACGAAUGGGGGUCUAAGUAAACCGAACGAACUGGGAUUUUUAUUCGACCAAGAACGGUCAACUCGGCAGCAUGCUUCGAAUUGCUUCAGCGUGCCUCGAAUUACUUCAGCAAACUUUUCUGAUGUUACACAGCAGCAACUAUUUCUGCUUAUUCAAGGAUACAAAUAAGUAUAUAGCACCGCUUCCACGACAGUUGGCUCUACAUAAUCGGAAGGGACCUGGAUUUUUAUCAUUUUUCUCCGGCCAAUGUCAUCAGCAUGCCUCCAAAUCAGUGCAAUGAUGUUUUUUGCUGCUACAGAUACAAGUUUUUUCUCUAAUCCGCUGCCCUGGUGUACUGCAAACCGAAAUACUUACCAAUAGAUAUAUUUUUAGACUGCUAUUUCUUACAUUUUAACUAUUAUGAACAUAUAAUUACAGUAAAUUCUCAAUAAAAAUAAAAAUAUAUAUAGCUGAAAGCCUAAAA
Bactrocera tryoni is the source of this 2217-nucleotide long non-coding RNA. RefSeq lists it as uncharacterized. The record is from RefSeq and is a predicted model, not a curated record. NCBI's taxonomy places the organism in Eukaryota, Metazoa, Arthropoda, Insecta, Diptera, Tephritidae. The transcript has 10 exons.